Molecule: RNA transcript, 3767 nt
Organism: Prunus dulcis (almond)
Lineage: Eukaryota; Viridiplantae; Streptophyta; Magnoliopsida; Rosales; Rosaceae
Gene name: pentatricopeptide repeat-containing protein At2g13600-like
Exons: 9
Source: RefSeq, a predicted model, not a curated record
CGGAGAAAACUGUGAGUGUCUUUCCUAUAUCUCAGUCUUCCUUGUUUUCUCUUUCCAUCCUCUCUUCUUUCAUUGUGUCUUCUUCCCUCUCUUUCCAUGCACGGCCCCAUCCUUCUCCUCUCUCGCCAAAGGCCAGAGCUCAAGAAAUCAGAAAGCUUCAGGCUUCGUUUGGUAUCUGAUUUUCAUACAGUUUUUCCAUUUCAGAAACGGCAAGUCUUAUACAUGUGUUGAUCCGAGUGUAACCAGCGCCGACGUGAUACUUCUGGUCACUCUUCUCCGACCCAAUUAGCAAUCACUAAGGAUCUUGGAUUUACAAUAAGUCUGAGAAGCAGAGAAGCCUAAUAUCUCCAGUGAUGGGGAUGCUGCCAAUUCAACCCCUGAAGUAUAUCCUUCAUCUUGCUCGCCUAAAUGCUCGUUAUAUAUCAUCAACACAUGAAAAUCUCUCAACAAAGCUCAUUCUCUGCCACGACCCCUCCCUACAACAAUCUUACAUGGAAUUGUCACAGACAUUCUACGAAGCCAUGAAAGCUUGUGCAUCUCUCAAGUCAAUACCCAUUGCCAGAAAACUCCAUGCCCAACUCAUUUCCAUAGGAUUGGACUCUGCUAUUUUCCUCCAGAACAAUCUCUUGCACAUGUACUCUCAAUGUAGCUUGAUAGAAGACGCUCGUCGGAUUUUUUACAGUAUUCAGCAUCCUAAUGUGUUUAGUUGGAAUACUAUGAUCAAUGGAUUAGUAGAUUUGGGUCAGAUGAGGGAAGCAAAGAUCUUGUUCAAUGAAAUGCCUGAGAGAGACUCUGUCUCUUGGACUACAAUGAUGUCUGGCCAUUUUAAUAAUGGGCAACCAGUGGAUGCAAUUAAAGUUUUUGCUGCAAUGGUUCAGAAUUGUGAGAGUUUUUCCGACCCAUUUUCCUUCUCUUGCGUAAUGAAGGCUUGCGGUAGUCUUGGCAACAUCAAAUUGGCUCUUCAGUUGCAUAGUCUUGUGGAGAAGUUAGAAUUUGGAAACAACAUGACUAUUCAAAAUUCGAUUAUCGAUAUGUACAUUAAGUGUGGUGCAUUGAGUUCUGCCGAGAAAAUGUUUUUGAGGAUCCCAAGUCCUAGUUUGUUUUGUUGGAACAGUAUGAUCUUUGGUUACUCUAAACUUUAUGGGGUUCAGAGGGCUCUUCAUAUGUUUUUUCAAAUGCCUGAACGUGACUGUGUGUCUUGGAACACCAUAAUUUCAAUCUUUUCUCAGCAUGGGUUUGGGGUUCAGAGUCUCAGUAUGUUUGUUGAGAUGUGGAACCAAGGUUUUAGACCAAAUUCUAUGAUAUAUGCCACCGUACUUAGUGCAUGUGCAAGCAUAUAUGAUCUGGAAUGGGGUACCCAUUUGCAUGCUCGGAUCAUCCGUAUGGAACCAAGUCUUGAUGUCUUCGCAGGUAGUGGACUGAUUGAUAUGUAUGUGAAAUGUGGACACUUGCAUUUUGCACGGCAGGUGUUUAACAACAUGACAGAACACAAUGCAGUUUCUUGGACUUCUUUGAUCAGUGGAGUUGUGCAGUCUGGACUUGAGGACGAAGCUUUAGUACUGUUUAACCAAAUGAGAAAGGCUCCUAUUUCCUUGGAUGAGUUUACUCUCGCAACAGUUCUUGGGGUUUGUUCAGGCCAAAAGCAUGUUUUAGUUGGGGAACAGCUUCAUGGAUAUACAAUCAAGGCUGGAAUGAUCUCUUCUAUUCCUGUAGGGAAUGCUCUUGUUACGAUGUAUGCAAAGUGUCAAAAUACUCAUAAAGCAAAUCAGACAUUUGAGUUGAUGCCAUUCAAAGAUAUAAUAUCAUGGACAGCAAUGAUCACGGCAUUCUCUCAAGUUGGUAAUGUUGAAAAAGCUCGAGAGUAUUUUGAUAAAAUGCCACAGCGGAAUGUCAUAACUUGGAAUUCAAUGUUAGCAACAUAUUUUCAAAAUGGUUUUUGGGAAGAAGGCCUAAAAUUGUAUAUUCUAAUGCGAAGGGUAGAGGUUAACCCUGAUUGGGUCACCUUAGUAACUUCAAUCAGUGCAUGUGCUGAUUUAGCAAUAUUAAAACUUGGGAUCCAAAUUAUAGCUCAAGCUGAAAAAAUAGGGCUUGGUUCUAAUGUUUCUGUAACAAAUAGCAUUGUUACUUUGUAUUCACGAUGUGGGCGAAUUGAAGUAGCAAAAAGAGUGUUUGACUCAAUAUGUGACAAAAAUUUGAUUUCUUGGAAUGCAAUUAUGGCAGGAUAUGCCCAAAAUGGUGAAGGUAGGAAAGUGAUUGAGAUUUUUGAGAAUAUGUUGAAAAUGGACUGCACACCUGAUCAUAUAAGUUAUGUAUCUGUUCUAUCAGGAUGUAGCCAUUCAGGGCUCGUAAUAGAGGGGAAACACUACUUCAGUUCCAUGACUGAAGAUUUUGGCAUCAAUCCAACAUGUGAGCAUUUUGCUUGUAUGGUAGAUCUACUUGGCCGGGCGGGGUUAUUAGAGGAGGCUAAGAAUUUGAUUGAUACAAUGCCCCUUAAGCCAAAUGCUGCUAUAUGGGGGGCUCUGCUUGGCGCAUGUCGGGUUCGUCGCAAUUUAAAGUUAGCAGAAGUUGCAGUGAGAAAUUUGCUUGAAUUAGAUAUAGAUGAUUCUGGGAGUUAUGUCCUUCUGGCCAAUACAUAUUCUGAUUGUGGACAAUUAGAAGCUUUUGCGGAUGUGAGAAAAGAGAUGAGAAAGAAAGGAAUUGAGAAAAAACCUGGUUGUAGCUGGAUAGAGGUUAAUAAUAGGGUACAUGUGUUCACUGUAGAUGACACCCAUCAUCCACAAAUGAAGGACAUUUAUAGAAUACUUGACGAGAUAAUUAAGAAGAUAGAAGAUACCGGUUGCUAUUUCAAUCCAAUUAGCUCAUUUCUUUCUCAGUGUUAUCACAGAGAAAAGCUUGAUGUUGCUGUUGAGCUGCUUAGAGUGCCUGCUUGAUGCCUAUCUGCAUAAUGUGAAACCUUCAAGUUUCCCAUGAUUGUCACUUGGUAAUGAAGCUGAUUUCCCUUGAUACCUCAAAGGGAGCUUAUAGUGCUGGACAGAUACCGGUUUCAUCAUUUGAAAGGUGGAUUUUGCUCCUAUGGAGAUUAUAUGUGAUCUCUGAAUGUGAUUCUCUAGCCUUCACCUUGAAGGCACGACAGAUGUAAUGGAUAGGUUGACAGUGGUCCACGUGUUCAGCAUUUAUUUGAUGGCCCAAGUAAGGUUGAUUAUCAAGAGAAGCAAUUCGCCCAAGGUGUUAUUCCGAACACAUUCAUGCGAAGGGAGGGAGCGCCAAAAGAGCGUGAACUCUUGUUUUGCAGAAUGUGAUUCUCUAGCCUUCACCUUGAAGGCACGACAGACGUAAUGGAUAGGUUCAUAAUUUUAUAAGAGUCUGCUGUAAGCUGACAAAGUGAUGGCUCAUUUGAUGAGUUUCUUUAUCAGCGGUGACAGUGGUCCACGUGUUCAGCAUUUAUUUGAUGGCCCACGUAAGCAAACUAGAUGGUAUGUUGCUGCCGCCCACACCCACUGCAUGUUCUUAUCUUGCAAUCAGAGUCUUAAUCUUUGCUUCUUCUGAUGCGUUGUUUUGUCUCACGAAACUUAUGUGCUGGUGCUUGUUGAUGCAAUUUUGAAUAAUUAAUAGAGCCUCUAGUGUCCACAUUUCAGUUCCACCUUCAUCUGAUCCACAUGGGCACUGAGCCCUCUGAUUUGCUUGACUUUUGAAUGGAACAUUUAUAUUUUUCAAGCAACAUUUUAAAGGUCCCGCCCAUUAAUGGGAAUUUCUCAUGGUUUUUUUUU